Molecule: ribosomal RNA, 466 nt
Filed under: uncultured bacterium
Lineage: Bacteria
Description: partial 16S ribosomal RNA
Rfam family: Bacterial small subunit ribosomal RNA
Source: RNAcentral
GAUGAACGCUGGCGGCGUGCCUAACACAUGCAAGUCGAGCGAACCCUUCGGGGUGAGCGGCGGACGGGUGAGUAACGCGUGGGUAACCUGCCCUAUACACACGGAUAACGUACCGAAAGGUACGCUAAUACGGGAUAAAGUUGUUGGAUGGCAUCUUCUAACAAUCAAAGCUCCGGCGGUAUCGGAUGGACCCGCGUCUGAUUAGCUAGUUGGUGCGGUAAUGGCUCACCAAGGCGACGAUCAGUAGCCUACCUGAGAGGGUGAUCGGCCACACUGGAACUGAGACACGGUCCAGACUCCUACGGGAGGCAGCAGUGGGGAAUAUUGCACAAUGGGCGAAAGCCUGAUGCAGCAACGCCGCGUGAGCGAUGAAGGUCUUCGGAUCGUGAAGCUCUGUCCUCAAGGAAGAUAAUGACGGUACUUGAGGAGGAAGCCCCGGCUAACUACGUGCCAGCAGCCGCGGUAA